Molecule: ribosomal RNA, 19 nt
Filed under: Vibrio alginolyticus
Lineage: Bacteria; Pseudomonadati; Pseudomonadota; Gammaproteobacteria; Vibrionales; Vibrionaceae
Description: partial 23S ribosomal RNA
Source: RNAcentral
UGGUUAAGUGACUCACCGA